RNAcentral lists this ribosomal RNA (253 nucleotides) under uncultured bacterium. RNAcentral's name for it is "partial 16S ribosomal RNA". It matches the Rfam family "Bacterial small subunit ribosomal RNA", at positions 524 to 776 of the family's 1533-position model. The record is from RNAcentral.
UACGAACUGUGCAAACGUUAUUCGGAAUUACUGGGCGUAAAGUGUGCGCAGGUGGCUGAGCAAGUCGAGUGUGAAAUCCCCGGGCUUAACUUGGGAAUUGCGCUCGAAACUACUUGGCUCGAGUGUGGCAGAGGAAGGUGGAAUUCCAGGUGUAGCGGUGAAAUGCGUAGAGAUCUGGAGGAACACCGAUGGCGAAGGCAGCCUUCUGGGCCAACACUGACGCUCAUGCACGAAAGCGUGGGGAGCAAACAGG